RNAcentral lists this ribosomal RNA (468 nucleotides) under uncultured bacterium. RNAcentral describes it as "partial 16S ribosomal RNA". It matches the Rfam family "Bacterial small subunit ribosomal RNA", at positions 28 to 507 of the family's 1533-position model. The record is from RNAcentral.
GACGAACGCUGGCGGCGUGCUUAACACAUGCAAGUCGAACGGAAAGGCCCUGCUUUUGUGGGGUGCUCGAGUGGCGAAAGGGUGAGUAACACGUGAGUAACCUGCCCUUGACUUUGGGAUAACUUCAGGAAACUGGGGCUAAUACCGGAUAGGAGCUCCUGCUGCAUGGUGGGGGUUGGAAAGUUUCGGCGGGUGGGGAUGGACUCGCGGCUUAUCAGCUUGUUGGUGGGGUAGUGGCUUACCAAGGCUUUGACGGGUAGCCGGCCUGAGAGGGUGACCGGGCAAAUUGGGAGUGAGAUACGGCCCAAACUCCUACGGGGGGAAGCAGUGGGGAAUAAUGCACAAUGGGCGGAACCCUGGUGCAGCCACGCCGCGUGCGGGAUGACGGCCUUCGGGUUGUAAACCGCUUUCGCCUGUGACGAAGCGUGAGUGACGGUAAUGGGUAAAGAAGCACCGGCUAACUACGUG